AACCUUAUGGACCUGCGGGCGUAUACCUGCGGAGGGAUCAUUACUGAGUGAGGGCCUUCGGGCUCGACCUCCAACCCUUUGUGAACACAACUUGUUGCUUCGGGGGCGACCCUGCCGUUUCGACGGCGAGCGCCCCCGGAGGCCUUCAAACACUGCAUCUUUGCGUCGGAGUUUAAGUAAAUUAAACAAAACUUUUAACAACGGAUCU
This 208-nucleotide unclassified non-coding RNA is filed under the name soil metagenome. RNAcentral describes it as "partial contains 5.8S ribosomal RNA, internal transcribed spacer 2, and large subunit ribosomal RNA". The record is from RNAcentral.